CCCGUAGAGUCUCGCGAUGCAUCUAGAUUAGAGUUUGAUCCUGGCUCAGAUUGAACGCUGGCGGCAGGCCUAACACAUGCAAGUCGGACGGUAGCACAGAGGAGCUUGCUCCUUGGGUGACGAGUGGCGGACGGGUGAGUAAUGUCUGGGGAUCUGCCCGAUAGAGGGGGAUAACCACUGGAAACGGUGGCUAAUACCGCAUAACGUCGCAAGACCAAAGAGGGGGACCUUCGGGCCUCUCACUAUCGGAUGAACCCAGAUGGGAUUAGCUAGUAGGCGGGGUAAUGGCCCACCUAGGCGACGAUCCCUAGCUGGUCUGAGAGGAUGACCAGCCACACUGGAACUGAGACACGGUCCAGACUCCUACGGGAGGCAGCAGUGGGGAAUAUUGCACAAUGGGCGCAAGCCUGAUGCAGCCAUGCCGCGUGUAUGAAGAAGGCCUUCGGGUUGUAAAGUACUUUCAGCGGGGAGGAAGGCGAUGCGGUUAAUAACCGCGUCGAUUGACGUUACCCGCAGAAGAAGCACCGGCUAACUCCGUGCCAGCAGCCGCGGUAAUACGGAGGGUGCAAGCGUUAAUCGGAAUUACUGGGCGUAAAGCGCACGCAGGCGGUCUGUUAAGUCAGAUGUGAAAUCCCCGGGCUUAACCUGGGAACUGCAUUUGAAACUGGCAGGCUUGAGUCUUGUAGAGGGGGGUAGAAUUCCAGGUGUAGCGGUGAAAUGCGUAUGAUCUGGAGGAAUACCGGGUGGCGAAGGCGGCCC
Molecule: ribosomal RNA, 759 nt
Filed under: uncultured Pantoea sp.
Lineage: Bacteria; Pseudomonadati; Pseudomonadota; Gammaproteobacteria; Enterobacterales; Erwiniaceae
Description: bacterial SSU rRNA
Rfam family: Bacterial small subunit ribosomal RNA
Source: RNAcentral